This is a ribosomal RNA of Cricetulus griseus (Chinese hamster), 121 nucleotides long. The record is from Ensembl. Lineage: Eukaryota; Metazoa; Chordata; Mammalia; Rodentia; Cricetidae.
GUCUACGGCCAUGCCACCAGGAACGCUCCCAAUCUCAUCUGAUCUCGGAAGUUAAGCAGGGUCGGGCCUGGUUAGUACUCGGAUGGGAGAGUAUGUCACUACAACUGGUCAAACAUUGAUA